GACGACUGGGAGACUUACGUCCGCUCCCGGGGCGUCACCUUCGACCUGCUCUCGGGAAGGCCGGGUGAGACCCCCGGGGUCGUCGC
RNAcentral lists this transfer RNA (86 nucleotides) under Streptomyces caniferus. Its description in RNAcentral is "tRNA-Gly". The record is from RNAcentral. Lineage: Bacteria; Bacillati; Actinomycetota; Actinomycetes; Kitasatosporales; Streptomycetaceae.